This is a small nuclear RNA of Echinops telfairi (small Madagascar hedgehog), 164 nucleotides long. Its record names the gene U1. It matches the Rfam family "U1 spliceosomal RNA". Rfam says of the family: U1 is a small nuclear RNA (snRNA) component of the spliceosome (involved in pre-mRNA splicing). Its 5' end forms complementary base pairs with the 5' splice junction, thus defining the 5' donor site of an intron. The record is from Ensembl. NCBI's taxonomy places the organism in Eukaryota, Metazoa, Chordata, Mammalia, Afrosoricida, Tenrecidae.
AUACUUACCUGGCAGGGGAGAUACCAUGAACACAAAGGUACUUUUCCCAGGGCGAGGCUCAUCCAUUUCACUCCAGGUGUACUGGUCCCUGCGAUUUCCCCAAAUGUGAGAAACUCGGCUGCAUAAUUUGUGGCAGUGGGGGACUGCGUCCGGCCUUUCCCCUG